AGAGUUUGAUCCUGGCUCAGGAUGAACGCUAGCGGCAGGCUUAACACAUGCAAGUCGAGGGGCAGCGAGUAGAUUGCUUGCAAUCUAUGUCGGCGACCGGCGCACGGGUGCGUAACGCGUACGCAACCUACCCAUUACAGGGGGAUAACACUGAGAAAUCGGUACUAAUACCCCAUAACAUCCAGGGAGGCAUCUUCUUGGGUUGAAAACUCCGGUGGUAAUGGAUGGGCAUGCGUUGUAUUAGUUAGUUGGUGGGGUAACGGCUCACCAAGACAACGAUACAUAGGGGGACUGAGAGGUUAACCCCCCACAUUGGUACUGAGACACGGACCAAACUCCUACGGGAGGCAGCAGUGAGGAAUAUUGGUCAAUGGACGCAAGUCUGAACCAGCCAUGCCGCGUGCAGGAAGACGGCUCUAUGAGUUGUAAACUGCUUUUGUACGAGGGUAAACGCAGAUACGCGUAUCUGUCUGAAAGUAUCGUACGAAUAAGGAUCGGCUAACUCCGUGCCAGCAGCCGCGGUAAUACGGAGGAUUCAAGCGUUAUCCGGAUUUAUUGGGUUUAAAGGGUGCGUAGGCGGUCGGAUAAGUUAGAGGUGAAAUCCCGGGGCUCAACUUCGGAAUUGCCUCUGAUACUGUUCGGCUAGAGAGUAGUUGCGGUAGGCGGAAUGUAUGGUGUAGCGGUGAAAUGCUUAGAGAUCAUACAGAACACCGAUUGCGAAGGCAGCUUACCAAGCUACUUCUGACGUUGAGGCACGAAAGCGUGGGGAGCAAACAGGAUUAGAUACCCUGGUAGUCCACGCAGUAAACGAUGAUAACUCGUUGUCGGCGAUACAAUGUCGGUGACUAAGCGAAAGCGAUAAGUUAUCCACCUGGGGAGUACGUUCGCAAGAAUGAAACUCAAAGGAAUUGACGGGGACCCGCACAAGCGGAGGAACAUGUGGUUUAAUUCGAUGAUACGCGAGGAACCUUACCCGGGCUUGAAAGUUAGUGACAGAUCUGGAAACAGGUCUUCCCUUCGGGGCACGAAACUAGGUGCUGCAUGGUUGUCGUCAGCUCGUGCCGUGAGGUGUCGGGUUAAGUCCCAUAACGAGCGCAACCCCUACCGUCAGUUGCCAGCAGGUCAAGCUGGGCACUCUGGCGGGACUGCCGGUGUAAGCCGAGAGGGAGGUGGGGAUGACGUCAAAUCAGCACGGCCCUUACGUCCGGGGCUACACACGUGUUACAAUGGCAGGUACAGAGGGCAGCUACCCAGCGAUGGGAUGCGAAUCUCGAAAGCCUGUCUCAGUUCGGAUUGGAGGCUGAAACCCGCCUCCAUGAAGUUGGAUUCGCUAGUAAUCGCGCAUCAGCCAUGGCGCGGUGAAUACGUUCCCGGGCCUUGUACACACCGCCCGUCAAGCCAUGGAAGCUGGGGGUGCCUGAAGUUCGUGACCGCAAGGAGCGACCUAGGGCAAAACCGGUGACUGGGGCUAAGUCGUAACAAGGUAACC
This 1489-nucleotide ribosomal RNA is filed under the name uncultured bacterium. RNAcentral describes it as "16S ribosomal RNA". It matches the Rfam family "Bacterial small subunit ribosomal RNA". The record is from RNAcentral.